UUCGGUCCCUAUCUGCCGUGGGCGCUGGAGAAAUGAGGGGGGCUGCUCCUAGUACGAGAGGACCGGAGUGGACGCAUCACCGGUGUUCGGGUUGUCAUGCCAAUGGCACUGCCCGGUAGCUAAAUGCGGAAGAGAUAAGUGCUGAAAGCAUCUAAGCACGAAACUUGCCCCGAGAUGAGUUCUCCCUGACUCCUUGAGAGUCCUGAAGGAACGUUGAAGACGACGACGUUGAUAGGCCGGGUGUGUAAGCGCAGCGAUGCGUUGAGCUAACCGGUACUAAUGAACCGUGAGGCUUAACCUUACAACGCCGAAG
Molecule: ribosomal RNA, 313 nt
Filed under: Escherichia coli
Lineage: Bacteria; Pseudomonadati; Pseudomonadota; Gammaproteobacteria; Enterobacterales; Enterobacteriaceae
Description: bacterial LSU rRNA
Rfam family: Bacterial large subunit ribosomal RNA
Source: RNAcentral